UAUGUUUCUUACUGCACAGGUUCAAGGUGUUUGCUGACUAUCAAGACUAUAUCAAAUGCCAAGAGAAAGUCAGUGCUUUGUAUAAGAAACCUAAGGAAUGGACCAAGAAGGUGAUCCUCAACAUCGCCGGUUCAGGCAAGUUCUCCAGCGACCGCACCAUCUCCCAGUACGCCCGUGAGAUCUGGGGUGUAGAGCCCACUCUGGAGAAGCUUGCUGCACCUGAUGACCCGAAAUAAACCUCCACCUGCCCAUCUCGAACCAAGAGCAACCUGUAUGAUCGAGCAACACUAGAUGCUCCCUCAUCAAGAAACCAGUCUUGCUCUAACUAUGGCAACCCGAACGCAGUCUUACAAUCAUCAAUCUUAAACGUUCUGCCUCAUUUACUUCACAAAACAAUCAAUAACUUAAACAAAUGUUCAACAGGUAACAUCUAUAUCAGCAUUAUUCAGCAAAAACCAGGGCUACAUUUCCCAAAAGCAUUGUAAGUAGAUCAUAGAAACUAUUGGCACCAGUGGUCUCUACAAUCUACAUAGGCUUACUAUGCUUUUGGGAAACGCUCUCAAUCGCAUAUUCAGAAUAAGAUGAGGAAACAUCACAUCCCAGAAGGUUCUUGAUGUUAUAUUUGGGUUUUGACAUUCAGUGGAGUGUGUUCCCCUGUCUGAACUGUUCAAGCACUGCAUAUUUGGAAA
Long non-coding RNA from Sinocyclocheilus rhinocerous, 689 nucleotides. RefSeq lists it as uncharacterized. The record is from RefSeq and is a predicted model, not a curated record. NCBI's taxonomy places the organism in Eukaryota, Metazoa, Chordata, Actinopteri, Cypriniformes, Cyprinidae. The transcript is spliced from 2 exons.